This 492-nucleotide ribosomal RNA is filed under the name uncultured bacterium. Its description in RNAcentral is "bacterial SSU rRNA". It matches the Rfam family "Bacterial small subunit ribosomal RNA", at positions 903 to 1397 of the family's 1533-position model. The record is from RNAcentral.
AAAUGAAUAGACGGGGGCCCGCACAAGCAGUGGAGUAUGUUGUUUAAUUCGAAGCAACGCGAAGAACCUUACCAGGUCUUGACAUCCUAUGAAUUCUUCGGAAACGGAGGAGUGCCCCAUUUGGGGAGCAUAGAGACAGGUGGUGCAUGGUUGUCGUCAGCUCGUGUCGUGAGAUGUUGGGUUAAGUCCCGCAACGAGCGCAACCCUUGUCAUUAGUUGCUACGCAAGAGCACUCUAAUGAGACUGCCGUUGACAAAACGGAGGAAGGUGAGGAUGACGUCAAAUCAUCAUGCCCCUUAUGAUCUGGGCUACAAACGUACUACAAUGGCCAUUAACAAAGGGAAGCGAAGGAGCGAUCCGGAGCGAAACCCCAAAAAUGGUCCCAGUUCGGAUUGCAGGCUGCAACCCGCCUGCAUGAAGUCGGAAUUGCUAGUAAUCGCAGAUCAGCAUGCUGCGGUGAAUACGUUCCCGGGCCUUGUACACACCGCCCGU